Molecule: signal recognition particle RNA, 263 nt
Filed under: Chloroflexota bacterium
Lineage: Bacteria; Bacillati; Chloroflexota
Description: signal recognition particle sRNA large type
Rfam family: Bacterial large signal recognition particle RNA
About the family: The signal recognition particle (SRP) is a universally conserved ribonucleoprotein involved in the co-translational targeting of proteins to membranes.
Source: RNAcentral
UCAUGCUAGGCGGGGAGCUAGCGCUACCCUGUACCCGCAAUGCGCUUUAGCGGGGCGGAAUUCCUAAUUGAGGCCCGACUUUGUAGGACUGCGACCGAGAAGUGGUGUUGAAGGUCAGGUCCCACGCGGCAGAACACUAUGAACCCUGUCAGGACCGGAAGGUAGCAGCAGUAAAUGGACCGUUCUGGGUGCCGUGGGAGUGCCGGGCUGGAGCUAACUGGCGGUCGUAAGCUGGAAGGUUGUCGUCGAUAAAGGGUGCAUGA